CUAUGUUAACCUACAUUAAUCCUAAAUUACGCUCCAAUGCUUACCCAAUGCCUCGGGCCUUCAUCACGAACAUCCUUUGGGUACAAAAUACUUCGGGGUAUUCCCCGGCCAAAUGAUACAUUUGAUCCAAAAGCAACCAAACCAAGCCAUUCAACAUAUAUUUCAAGUAUUCAAUGUUCCCCAAGUCCUGAAUUUGCCUACCCCGACCUGCCGUUUGCCUAUCCGUUUCAACAUAUCAGAAUUCUAUCACGUCCCAAUAAUAUUC
RNAcentral lists this long non-coding RNA (265 nucleotides) under Capsicum annuum. RNAcentral's name for it is "long non-coding RNA (CANN_LNC010841)". The record is from RNAcentral. Lineage: Eukaryota; Viridiplantae; Streptophyta; Magnoliopsida; Solanales; Solanaceae.